Long non-coding RNA from Contarinia nasturtii (swede midge), 413 nucleotides. RefSeq lists it as uncharacterized. NCBI's taxonomy places the organism in Eukaryota, Metazoa, Arthropoda, Insecta, Diptera, Cecidomyiidae. The transcript is spliced from 2 exons. The record is from RefSeq and is a predicted model, not a curated record.
AACAGCCAAAAAUGCUAACUAUUAGGAAAUUAUAUUUAUGAAAAUUUCAAUUAUAUUUCCGAAAAAACAAGAAUAACAUGAACUUUUUACCGAUUUUUGUCCUUGUUGGAGCAAAUGCGCAAACCGUCGGUGGAGAAAUAGCAUAAAUUAAUGUAUAGAUUUUGAAUUAUUGAAGCAUAAACCAGUGCUAAAUGCUUUUUAUAAUCAGGAGUCAUCAUUCGCAAAUAAUUUACAAUAAAUUACUAUCAAUGGAAGGAAUACUAAACAUGAAGAUGUAAUCCAAAUUUUCAACGAUAAAGACUAUUGACAGUUGUUGAAAGUCAAAGAUAAGACAGUGUGUUAGAAGACACAGUUAUCUAAAAAAAAACUUUAAAUGUAUAAAACGCAAAUAAAAACACCAUGAGUUCUGUUUU